UAAUAACAUUCAUCUGAAAUGUUGCACAGUUAGGAUUUAUUAUUAUCCUUGCGUAUUUUAGUGUGGACUUGAAAUCGCACAGUUAGGGUUUUGUUCACCAAUUCUUAUAAUAUCUAUGGCAGUGUCAAAUCGCACUUUUCCUUUUCUCUCGCCACAAUAUCAAACCUGAAAAUUGACUCAAGGUUUUCUUCCUUCCACCAUACAACUAGGGUUAUCUUUCUUCCAUCGUACCCAAGGCAUCAACCACCUGCAAACCUGAAAAUUGGUCUGGUUCAAGUUGAAAUUGACUCAAAUAAAACAAUGUAAAUUUCAUCAGCCACCAUUUUAGUAAAACUAGAAUGCUUUUGCUUUUUUGUUCGUUUUGUAUUAGCUUGUUAUGUGAAUUGGGCAAUUAGUCAUGAAUAAAUUGAUGUCAAGCUCAAUCAAGCAAUUAUGACUAUAAUACUGCAUAAAGACAUGGGUCUACCAGAACGAGCCUCUUUACCUUAUGUAAGGCUGCAUUUACACGGGGUUAUACUAGGCUCUUCAUAUCCCUACAGUUGCUCCCAUUGAGGGUAUAGCAUUGGGUGGGGGACUUGAAAUGGCAAUGUCUUAUGAUAUCAGGACAUGUGGUACAUUCUUCUUGCAUUUCUAAGUUAAUGCCAUAUUUUCUCGUUCUUUC
Capsicum annuum is the source of this 661-nucleotide long non-coding RNA. RefSeq lists it as uncharacterized. The transcript has 3 exons. Lineage: Eukaryota; Viridiplantae; Streptophyta; Magnoliopsida; Solanales; Solanaceae. The record is from RefSeq and is a predicted model, not a curated record.